AAGAUCGUACCUCAUGGGAUUAUCACUAUAUAUAUUUAAAAACUGCCAAGUGUAAAGCUGAGUCGAUGCAACUACGAUGACAGUUGUAGCUCUUUUUUUUGAGCGGGAGGUCGAUUCAAAAUUUUGGUUUUAACGUCAAGAUUUUGAUCACUGAUGAUCGUUCACGCCUGUUAAUUAGUAAAGGGAGCUAUGGGAAGCGAAGUUUUCUGAGUAGA
RNAcentral lists this small nucleolar RNA (215 nucleotides) under Polistes fuscatus (common paper wasp). Its description in RNAcentral is "small nucleolar RNA U3". It matches the Rfam family "Small nucleolar RNA U3". From Rfam's summary of the family: Small nucleolar RNAs (snoRNAs) are involved in the processing and modification of rRNA in the nucleolus. There are two main classes of snoRNAs: the box C/D class, and the box H/ACA class. U3 snoRNA is a member of the box C/D class. The record is from RNAcentral. Lineage: Eukaryota; Metazoa; Arthropoda; Insecta; Hymenoptera; Vespidae.